Molecule: long non-coding RNA, 400 nt
Filed under: Gossypium barbadense (sea-island cotton)
Lineage: Eukaryota; Viridiplantae; Streptophyta; Magnoliopsida; Malvales; Malvaceae
Description: long non-coding RNA (GBAR_LNC017169)
Source: RNAcentral
UUACGAAAAGAAGCGUGAUUUGUUAUUCUCUUGAUUUACCUUGUGUAAAAUCCUUGAAUUUGUCCAAAUCUGUUUUGGAGAAUAAGGUAACGAAAUUUUCCAAAUUUAUUUUCAAUUUAUAUUCGUGCCUUAAACAGUUUAUGUGGUUGUACAUGAAGUUUGAGUUCCAUUUGACAAACGUUAACUCAACAACGAAGAUUCGACUACACUAUGCCCCCGAUGAGCGAAGGUUUGUUUUAAAUGAAAAAGGUAAAAUCGACCCUUAUUCUUCUGCUUAUCGAGGUAAGAUGCUUGAAACCUUUGAAACACUUUUGUACUCCUCGGAUAGUGAUAAAGAUCGUGUUGAUGAACACUUAGAUCGAAACGUGCUUGACUGUCCUAUUUUAUUUAUUGAUGAUCU